GCCGCCUUAGCUCAGUGGUAGAGCGGCCCCUUCGUUUGGGGCAGGUCGUCUGUUCGAUUCAUUCAGGUGGCUCAA
RNAcentral lists this transfer RNA (75 nucleotides) under Bifidobacterium oedipodis. Its description in RNAcentral is "tRNA-Thr". It matches the Rfam family "tRNA". Rfam says of the family: Transfer RNA (tRNA) molecules are approximately 80 nucleotides in length. Their secondary structure includes four short double-helical elements and three loops (D, anti-codon, and T loops). The record is from RNAcentral. Lineage: Bacteria; Bacillati; Actinomycetota; Actinomycetes; Bifidobacteriales; Bifidobacteriaceae.